RNAcentral lists this long non-coding RNA (1328 nucleotides) under Salmo salar (Atlantic salmon). RNAcentral's name for it is "lncRNA (ENSSSAG00000107411.1)". The record is from RNAcentral. Lineage: Eukaryota; Metazoa; Chordata; Actinopteri; Salmoniformes; Salmonidae.
AAUGAGAACUGGGUGAACAAGUGUAGCGACGUUUCCUCAAUCACAGAGGAAGAAGAGGUCUAAGAAAAUGAGGAAAGCAGAGGCUGGAUUUGAAUUUCAGGAAGAUGCCGAUAAAAAUGGAGAUGAGGUGUCGAAGAAGAUUGGUGUCAACUUCAAACAGAGUGAGCCGCACAACAAACCAAGUUCUGGAGGUGAAAUUGAAGUGAAUGAGGGAGCAUACUACCCUAUUCAUUUGAGCUGGAAUACACUGAAGAGGAGUUGAGGCAGCAACAACAAGAAUUGCAAGACCAGCGAUGGGGAGCCCCAGUCAGACUCCGACUGGUGGUGCCGAUGCGGGUGCUGUCCAGCCAUGCCGACCGAAGAGGAAUGUUUGUGCUGCAACUAAUUAGAUCGCCGACAGUUCUUACUGGAGAGGGUCACUGCAGACCCCAUGGAUCAUGUGUCUGUGACAUCAAAGUUUCAAUGCACAUAUGGAUAGAGAUGUGUUGGAGACGUUCUUCAGAACCUCAAGGAUCAAGAUCAACUGGCAGCGACAGCCUAGAACAGCUGGACCAAGAGGGCAAAUGACAAACGAACAAUACAUCUCGGUGGCCUGCAGAUUCUUUUUGGAGUUUGUUCUAUGUGGGAAAAGCUAGGCACAAGACACCGAAUCCCCUUGCCUGCCCCUUACAAAAAGAGACUGCAGUUUUGACACUGCAGUAAAAGUGCAGUAACUGCCGUCGUCAGUGGUAUUUUGGACGCAGUAAAUGCAGAAUAACUGCUGUGUACUGCAGUUGAACUGCAGUUAUACUGCAAAAUUACAGGACAGUAUGUUGGAUACAAAUAAGCUGAUGACUCAAAAGGAGAUGUGAAAGGUCCAUAACAACAAUCUUCCCUUGUAUCAAAGUGACUUCGAACACCUCCCUUCACCUCCCUGACGCACCAUAUGCAAUUUGUAGAACUGUCAUAUUUAUUAUAGGCGUUAGUAGUAUAUUUUUCUUCUACUGUAUAUAUGUCAUGCAUUGCCUUAACUGUUCCUGCAUACUACUGUGUAAACUCACCUCGGUCUCGAGAGCAAAUAAACUUUGUCUUGAAUACAAUCCAUGUCUACUUGCUACAUUGAGACUAAUCUACAAUUUAAUUAAAACAUGUUUACAUGCCAACAAAAUGAAAGUUGAAAUGUUUGGUUUUACCAGUAAGAUUGUAGCUAGUUACUUCUAAAUACAUCCCAUGAAUAUCACAAUAAAUUGAUCCAGAAGUCAACACUAUUGGUUUCUGAUGCAGCUGGAAUCAUUUAGUCACUUGCAGUACACGUCAAAAAGAUUAGAUAAAAUAUCUUAUCAAACUCC